RNAcentral lists this ribosomal RNA (1731 nucleotides) under Henneguya sp. k AC-2020. RNAcentral's name for it is "SSU rRNA". It matches the Rfam family "Eukaryotic small subunit ribosomal RNA", at positions 354 to 1827 of the family's 1831-position model. The record is from RNAcentral. Lineage: Eukaryota; Metazoa; Cnidaria; Myxozoa; Bivalvulida; Myxobolidae.
UACGGGUAACGGGGAAUCAGGGUUCGAUUCCGGAGAGGGAGCCUGAGAAACGGCUACCACAUCCAAGGAAGGCAGCAGGCGCGCAAAUUACCCAAUCCAGACAAUGGGAGGUGGUGACGAAAAGUACCGAAUGGCAGCUUAUUGUUGCCAGUUUGGAAUGAAAACAAUUUAAGUAAUUGAAUUGAGUAACGACUGGAGGGCAAGUCUGGUGCCAGCAGCCGCGGUAAUUCCAGCUCCAGUAGCGUAUCUCAAAGUUGCUGCGCUUAAAACGCUCGUAGUUGGAUCACGCACUAUGCAUUGGUGUAUCCAAGUUGUUGCAUGGUAAGCUUUGUGCUCAGACUCGUUCCACGAUGUUCUGCAGCUAAGGUGUGCAGCACUUGGGUAAAUAGCCAGUGUGUAGUAAUUGCACGUGGGGAUGGUCGUUAGCCUUUAGUGCGCUGAUGAUCGUGUCCCACGGGGUGUGCCUUGAGUAAAUCAGAGUGCUUAAAGCAGGCGUUAGCUUGAAUGUUGAUAGCAUGGAACGAACAAUCGUGUAUGGUGUGUGUUGGUAACGGGGUGUUGGAUUCGUCCUUCACACUGCAACACACGACACCGACCGCCAGUUACGGAUGUUGGUUCCGUAUUGGGGUAUUGAUUAAGAGGAGCGGUUGGGGGCAUUGGUAUUUGGCAGCGAGAGGUGAAAUUCUUGGACCUGCCAAGGACUAACAAAUGCGAAGGCAUCUGUCCAGACCGUAUCCAUUAAUCAAGAACGAAAGAGAGAGGUUCGAAGACGAUCAGAUACCGUCCUAGUUCUCUCUGUAAACUAUGCCGACCCGGGAUCAGUUUGGAGUUAUAUAUCCACGCUCGAGGUUGGUCCCCCUGGGAAACCUGAAGUUUUUCGGUUGCGGGGGGAGUAUGGUCGCAAGGCUGAAACUUAAAGGAAUUGACGGAAGGGCACCACCAGGGGUGGAGCCUGCGGCUUAAUUUGACUCAACACGGGAUGAGAAACGGCUACCACAUCCAAGGAAGGCAGCAGGCGCGCAAAUUACCCAAUCCAGAUAGUGGGAGUGGUGCAUGGCCGUUCUUAGUUCGUGGAGUGAUCUGUCAGGCCAAUUCCGGUAACGAACGAGACCACUUUCUCCAUUUGACGAGCCGGAGAAGGCGUUGGUAUUGAGGAUUUUUGCUUGCAAGGGUCCCCGGUGCUAAUUCUGUAGGUACUGUGGGGAAGCUCAGGGGGCAUUGGCUGAGAUCGCAAGUCAAGGCUGGUGCACUUUGAGUUAUCUCCACAAUCCCUCCGGUUUAACAGUGCGUGCUCGCAAGAGUGGGUAUUGUAUCAUGGAGAGACAACGGAAUAUACUAAAAAAAUCCGAGGAAGUGUGGCUAUAACAGGUCUGUGAUGCCCUUAGAUGUUCAGGGCUGCACGCGCGCUACAAUGACUACGACAGCGAGUCUCUGGAUCGAAAGAUUCGGGUAAUCUUGUAAUCGUAGUCGUGAUGGGGAUCGACGUUUGUAAUUACGUCGUGAAAGAGGAAUCCCUAGUACGUGCGAUUCAUUAAAUCGCGCGGAUUUAGUCCCUGCCCUUUGUACACACCGCCCGUCGCUACUACCGAGCGAAUGGUGUCAUAAUACCUUGGGAGCGGACGUCGCGCUGGGCUUAUGCUCGGAGCGAUGCUGCGAUCAGCGUAAAAUGGCGCAAUUUCGAGGAAGUAAAAGUCGUAACAAGGUUUCCGUAGGUGAACCUGCGGAAGGAUC